RNAcentral lists this long non-coding RNA (1762 nucleotides) under Dasypus novemcinctus (nine-banded armadillo). RNAcentral's name for it is "lncRNA (ENSDNOG00000052320.1)". The record is from RNAcentral. Lineage: Eukaryota; Metazoa; Chordata; Mammalia; Cingulata; Dasypodidae.
AUGUUCAGGCAGAUGACGCUAGCUGGAUUUGGGGUGUUCCAGGGCCCCCUGGGUGAGCUAGCACAGAGAAGGGCCCUGGGGGUCAGGCAGGCAGCCACUGGCUCCUUGCGCAUGCCCAGAGAGGUGGGGUUCAUUGCAAGCACCUUCCUCUGUCCGAAGAAGGACGUGUGUGUGUGCCCUGCUGUGGGCAUGAGCUCGACCACCCUGUGUGCUGUGCUUUACCUCCUGGCUUUUGGAGCUCAGCACCCUGACUGCCCCAAGUGUGGCCUCAUCCACCUCCUCCCAGGCUGGGGGAGGAUGGCCCUGUCCUCACUGAGCAUCUUCUUACCCAGAUCCAUUUUCAACCCCUCACUUUUCAAUUCAGGAACAGAGACCCAGAGAAAGGUGAAGCUCAAGGCCCACGGGGUGUGCAGAAUCCAGAGGACCUGGACACUUCUGGCAUCUGAGGAUGAAAAUGACACGGCUGAGGAAAUAAUAGAUCCCGGCUUGGUGCAGAGCUUUAGAACCAGCCAGAACAUGGAGCAACACCUGCUAUCUGGCCACUUGGGCAGGGAGGACCUGGACGCAUCCGACGUCCUGGGGAACAGGAACGUGGUCCUCCCCACCAGGCAAACCCUGACGAAAACGACCCCCAGGUGAGCACAGUAGCCCUUCCAUGGCGGCUGGGGUGCCAGAUAUUGCCAUUGGACACUGGGGGCCAAUUCAUUUCUCUGAGCCUCAGAUGACUCCUUGCAUGAGUAGGGGCCUGCAGGACAAACAGCAAUAGUUAUUGAGAGGACCAAAUGGGAGGAGAUAGAGGAAGUGUUGACCAAGUUAGUCCGUGUGUCACAGGCUGUUAUAGGGCCUGGGAUGGACACCGUGAUUUCCCACUCACCUAGGGAGAAGCCUCUGACUCAGUCCUCAACUACAACAGGCCAUAGCACAAACCUCUUUCCCUUUUUGAAGGAAGAUUGACACUUCCGUCCUGCACUUCUUCAACCAAGGUCUAGUCAAAAGGCAUUGAGGGGGCUGGAGAAGUAGAAUCUGCCAAAUCUGACAUCUGGGAAUGUGAUGGGCUCUAUCAAUCAAUAGUGAUUAUGUGUGUAGGAAAAUUGCACAGAUUAGUAGUUGGAGGAAAGGAGGACUAAAAAUCCCUGCUGCUGGACGUCCAUUCCACAGGGAGUCGGAAAAUUACACUAGACCUCGUAAGCACAGGGAGACCAUGAAUGUUAGGUGUGAUACUUCAGUGUCUUUCUCUAGGGAUGAGACAGUCCUCCAGGUCACUUAAGGACAAGGAAGACUCAUGGACCUAAGGAAAAUAUGAGUGGAAUAUAUGUAAUCUACAAGGGCCUUAAAGUCCACAGUGGAGUCAGAAAGUUUAGGUGGGGUAGUCCCGGGAAGCUCAGGACAGAUCUCUUUGUCCCAAAAAUUUCAUGAUUUACACCUUGGUUUGAUUUGUCACAAACUGCCCCAUCCUAUGAACAGAAUCCAUGGUCCCAGGGAAGAGACGAGUUUAGCAAAAUGCUAAAGAAUUUGUAGAGAUGUUCUGUCGAGGCUUCUCAGCUCUAGGAAAAGUGGGGUUAGGCUGGGCUCCUGCCACUAAGAGGAAAAUAAGGCCUGGAUGAGUUACACUCACAGGCUUUCAAAAAAUGUGGCAGCUCUUGGUCCCUGGGGUGCAGGAUACGAUGCACUUAGGACAUGGGAAUGUGGGGUAGAGGGCCCCACCCACCAGGUAUUAAGUGCCCAUGUUUUGAAGCAUAGUGCAAAGAAGAAGUAGUCACUG